RNAcentral lists this ribosomal RNA (3031 nucleotides) under Skermania sp. ID1734. Its description in RNAcentral is "Bacterial large subunit ribosomal RNA". It matches the Rfam family "Bacterial large subunit ribosomal RNA". The record is from Rfam by way of RNAcentral. Lineage: Bacteria; Bacillati; Actinomycetota; Actinomycetes; Mycobacteriales; Gordoniaceae.
UUGUAAGUGUUUAUGAGCGUUCGGUGGAUGCCUUGGCACCAGGAGCCGAUGAAGGACGUGGGAGGCUGCGAUAAGCCUCGGGGAGCUGUCAACCGAGCUGAGAUCCGAGGGUGUCCGAAUGGGGAAACCCGGCCACAGUGAUGUGUGGUCACCCGCGCCUGAAUGUAUAGGGCGUGUGGAGGGAACGUGGGGAAGUGAAACAUCUCAGUACCCACAGGAAGAGAAAACAAUAUGUGAUUCCGUUAGUAGUGGCGAGCGAACGCGGAAGAGGCUAAACCAUGCGCAUGUGAUACCCGGCGGGGGUUGUGUGUGUGGGGUUGUGGGGUUCAUCUGCCUGGUUCCGCUGGACUGGGCGGCAGUGAGAAAAGGAUGCGUUAGUCGAAGUGGUCUGGGACGGCCGACCGUAGACGGUGAGAGUCCGGUAGGCGAAAACGUGUUCUCUGUCGUGAUGGAUACCCGAGUAGCAGCGGGCCCGUGAAAUCUGCUGUGAAUCUGCCGGGACCACCCGGUAAGCCUGAAUACUCCCUGGUGACCGAUAGCGGACAAGUACCGUGAGGGAAAGGUGAAAAGUACCCCGGGAGGGGAGUGAAAUAGUACCUGAAACCGUGCGCUUACAAUCCGUCAGAGCCCGUGCGCCCCUUGGGGGUGGUGGGUGAUGGCGUGCCUUUUGAAGAAUGAGCCUGCGAGUUAGCGGCACGUGGCGAGGUUAACCCGGGUGGGGUAGCCGUAGCGAAAGCGAGUCCGAACAGGGCGCCCAUAGUCGCGUGUUCUAGACCCGAAGCGGAGUGAUCUACCCAUGGCCAGGGUGAAGCGACGGUAAGACGUCGUGGAGGCCCGAACCCACUUAGGUUGAAAACUGAGGGGAUGAGCUGUGGGUAGGGGUGAAAGGCCAAUCAAACUCCGUGAUAGCUGGUUCUCCCCGAAAUGCAUUUAGGUGCAGCGUUGCGUGUUUCACUCCGGAGGUAGAGCUACUGGAUGGUCUAGGGGGCCUACAAGCUUACCGAAAUCAGCCAAACUCCGAAUGCCGGGGUGUGAGAGCGCAGCAGUGAGACGGCGGGCGAUAAGGUUCGUCGUCGAGAGGGAAACAGCCCAGAUCGCCGGCUAAGGCCCCUAAGCGUGUACUAAGUGGAAAAGGAUGUGGAGUCGCGAAGACAACCAGGAGGUUGGCUUAGAAGCAGCCACCCUUGAAAGAGUGCGUAAUAGCUCACUGGUCAAGUGGUUCUGCGCCGACAAUGUAGCGGGGCUCAAGUACACCGCCGAAGCCGCGGCACUCACACAAGUCAUCCACCCGUGCCUUCGGGUUCGGGUGUAGUGGUGUGGGUGGGUAGGGGAGCGUCCUGCAUCCAGGGAAGCGGCAGCGUGAGCCAGCCGUGGAGGGUGUGGGAGUGAGAAUGCAGGCAUGAGUAGCGAAAGCGCAGUGAGAAACUGCGCCGCCGAAUGACCAAGGGUUCCUGGGCCAGGUUAAUCCGCCCAGGGUGAGUCGGGACCUAAGGCGAGGCCGACAGGCGUAGUCGAUGGACAACGGGUUGAUAUUCCCGUACCCGUGUGCAAGCGCCCCUGACGAAUCAGUUCUACUAACCGUCCAAAACCCAAACGAUCCCUUUCGGGGGACGGGCGGGGGCUGCACGGGACCUGUGCUGGUAGUAGUCAAGCGAUGGGGUGACGCAGGAAGGUAGUGGGGCCAGUCAGUGGUAACACUGGUGUAAACCGGUAGGGCGUUGCGUAGGCAAAUCCGCGCAACAUUUAAGCCUGAGAGGUGACGCAUAGCCGAAUGAGGCGAAUUCCAUGAUCCUAUGCUGCCGAGAAAAGCCUCUAGCGAGCAGGCACACGGCCCGUACCCCAAACCGACACAGGUGGUCAGGUAGAGAAUACCGAGGCGAUCGAGAUAACUGUGGUUAAGGAACUCGGCAAAAUGCCCCCGUAACUUCGGGAGAAGGGGGACCCGCGCCCGUGCACCAGCUGGCCUGGGAAGCGGGGACGGGUCGCAGAGACCAGAGAGAAGCGACUGUUUACUAAAAACACAGGUCCGUGCGAAGUCGUAAGACGAUGUAUACGGACUGACGCCUGCCCGGUGCCGGAAGGUUAAGAGGACCGGUCAGCCCAGCAAUGGGCGAAGCUGAGAAUUUAAGCCCCGGUAAACGGCGGUGGUAACUAUAACCAUCCUAAGGUAGCGAAAUUCCUUGUCGGGUAAGUUCCGACCUGCACGAAUGGCGUAACGACUUCUCUGCUGUCUCAACCACAGACUCGGCGAAAUUGCAUUACGAGUAAAGAUGCUCGUUACGCGCGGCAGGACGAAAAGACCCCGGGACCUUCACUACAGCUUGGUAUUGGUGUUCGGUACGGUUUGUGUAGGAUAGGUGGGAGACUGGGAAGCAGGCACGCCAGUGUUUGUGGAGUCGUCGUUGAAAUACCACUCUGAUCGUAUUGGAUGUCUAACCUCGGACCAUGAUCUGGUUCAGGGACAGUGCCUGGUGGGUAGUUUAACUGGGGCGGUUGCCUCCCAAAAUGUAACGGAGGCGCCCAAAGGUUCCCUCAGCCUGGUUGGCAAUCAGGUGUCGAGUGCAAGUGCACAAGGGAGCUUGACUGUGAGACCGACAGGUCGAGCAGGGACGAAAGUCGGGACUAGUGAUCCGGCACCGGCAWGUGGAAGCGGUGUCGCUCAACGGAUAAAAGGUACCCCGGGGAUAACAGGCUGAUCUUCCCCAAGAGUCCAUAUCGACGGGAUGGUUUGGCACCUCGAUGUCGGCUCGUCGCAUCCUGGGGCUGGAGUAGGUCCCAAGGGUUGGGCUGUUCGCCCAUUAAAGCGGCACGCGAGCUGGGUUUAGAACGUCGUGAGACAGUUCGGUCUCUAUCCGCCGCGCGCGUUAGAAACUUGAGGAAGGCUGUCCCUAGUACGAGAGGACCGGGACGGACGAACCUCUGGUAUGCCAGUUGUUCCACCAGGAGCACCGCUGGUUAGCUACGUUCGGAAGGGAUAACCGCUGAAAGCAUCUAAGCGGGAAGCCCGUUCCAAGAUAAGGUUUCUCCCACC